GCCACCCCCAGCAACAAGCAACUGUAAGAUGACCAUCAUUAGCAAGAACUAUAAAAUACAUGGGCAGAAGUUUAUCAGUUUCAUUCUACGUUUGAUACUUGAAGACUAAUGGAAGAUAAAAAUGAUGAUGAAUUUGGGUAGAUAAUUUCCUUGCUAAUCUCCAAACAAGACGAUCCAUAAAAAUGAAAUAUCAUUAACUUAGUUUAAUUGGAAAUUCUGUUCUGAGAUGACCUUAUUCAAUUAACUCUUAGAUGGUUCUUAUUGAAGGUUUCUAGUUAAUUGGAAAUUCUGUUCUGAGAUGACCUUAUUCAAUUAACUCUUAGAUGGUUCUUAUUGAAGGUUUCUAGCCUUUACCUUCCCUCAGAAAUCACGACUUACAUGUAAAUUUCAACUAAUUCUAAAUAUGAACAGAAGCACCACAGAAAACUUCAGACCAACAUCCACCAACAUUAUGAUAAAAAAGUAAACUCAUUGUUACAACAAAACAAAUGGACAUGGAAAUCACAACUCUGAUUAAUUACCAUUGAGCUUGGCACAAUUAGGCGGAAUCACCACCAAGUUAGUCUUCCCUGACUUUUUGGACAAGGUCAAAAGUUUCUCAAACAACACUAGUUUGGGUUAAUUAUCAUUUGAAAUGUACUUGCGAUAAUUGUUGGUUCACAACUAUCUAAAUCUUUAAUCUUCAAUCUAUUCAAUAAGUAAUAACACAUCACUGAAAACAAAAAUCCUGACAUUUAGGAGCUGCGAGAACAAUGCUCCACUAUUUAUUAGAGGUUUAACUCAUCUAUAUAUGGUAGAACGAUGAUAUCUGAGCUUAGCACCAAGGUUUCUAAAGGAUUCUUUUCAUUGUGAUAUUCAAAGGGCAUAAACAAUGAACAUCUCAUGUUUUCCUUGUAAGUUGAAUUCUACACAUAACAUUCU
This 921-nucleotide unclassified non-coding RNA is filed under the name Hevea brasiliensis (rubber tree). Lineage: Eukaryota; Viridiplantae; Streptophyta; Magnoliopsida; Malpighiales; Euphorbiaceae. The record is from RNAcentral.